ACAGUCAAAUUCGUGCCAAACACUUCCUCCUUAUAUACAUACACAGCUGGUUCACAAACGCCCCCAAUCGUUAACAUCUUCUAGGGUUUAGUCAAGAACCCUAGAUCCCUCAAUAAGCCUCUUAUAUCUAUCAAAUUUUUAGGGUUUUAAAUCCAAAGUUUCAAUCUCCUCCGCAAAUCUCGUGAUGGGUACAGAGCGGAAGCGAAAAGUGAGCUUGUUCGAUGUGGUUGAUGAUAGUGCAAUCUCCAAGCUCAACAAAACAAACGGCGCCGUUUCGAAUAGUGUCAAUUCGCUGAUUAAUCGGUGGAAUGGGAGGCCGUUUUCGCAGAGAUAUUAUGAUAUUCUGGAGAAGAGGAAGACUUUGCCUGUUUGGCAUCAGAAAGAUGAAUUCUUUAAGGCUUUGAAGGAGAAUCAGACGCUGAUUCUUGUUGGGGAGACUGGGAGUGGGAAGACUACGCAGAUUCCUCAAUUUGUUCUGGAAGCUGUUGAAUUGGAAAGCCAAGAUAAACGUAAGAAGUACAUAAUUGGUUGCACCCAGCCUCGUAGGGUUGCAGCAAUGUCGGUUUCUCGUAGAGUUGCUGAAGAGAUGGACGUAACUAUUGGAGAAGAAGUUGGUUAUAGCAUCCGUUUUGAAGAUUGCAGCAGUUCACGAACUGUUCUAAAGUACUUGACAGAUGGUAUGCUAUUAAGAGAAGCAAUGACAGAUCCACUUCUUGAAAGAUAUAAAGUGAUAAUUCUUGAUGAAGCUCAUGAAAGGACUUUGGCAACAGAUGUUCUAUUCGGACUUUUAAAGGAAGUAUUGAAAAAUAGACCUGAUCUGAAGCUAGUUGUGAUGAGUGCUACUCUUGAGGCGGAGAAGUUUCAGGGUUACUUCUUUGGGGCACCUUUGAUGAAGGUUCCAGGAAGACUACACCCAGUAGAGAUCUUCUAUACGCAGGAGCCUGAGAGGGACUACCUUGAAGCAGCAAUUCGUACAGUUAUUCAAAUACAUACAUGUGAACCUCCUGGUGAUAUACUAGUCUUUCUUACUGGGGAGGAGGAAAUUGAAGAUGCCUGUCGGAAGAUAACAAAGGAAAUCGGCAAUUUUGGAGAUACCGCUGGACCUGCAUUAGUUGUGCCUCUGUACUCCACACUUCCUCCAGCUAUGCAGCAGAAAAUAUUUGAUCCUGCUCCUCCUCCUUUGACACCAAAUGGUCCAGCUGGAAGGAAGAUUGUUGUCUCCACAAACAUUGCCGAAACGUCUUUGACUAUUGAUGGCAUAGUUUAUGUCAUAGAUCCUGGAUUUGCUAAGCAAAAAGUUUAUAACCCACGAGUGCGUGUUGAGUCUUUGCUGGUUUCACCAAUAUCGAAGGCAAGUGCCCACCAGAGGUCAGGUCGUGCAGGCAGAACACAACCAGGAAAGUGUUUUAGACUAUACACAGAGAAAAGCUUCCAAAAUGAUCUCCAGCCUCAGACAUACCCUGAGAUUCUAAGGUCAAACCUUGCAAAUACAGUUCUCACUUUAAAAAAAUUAGGUAUAGAUGAUCUGGUCCAUUUUGAUUUUAUGGACCCUCCUGCCCCAGAGACACUAAUGCGUGCAUUAGAGGUUCUGAAUUACUUGGGAGCCUUGGACGAUGAAGGAAAUUUGACCAGGCUGGGUGAAAUCAUGAGCGAAUUGCCCCUUGACCCACAAAUGGGGAAGAUGCUUGUUGUCAGCCCGGAGUUCAACUGUUCGAACGAGAUUUUGUCUAUAUCAGCUAUGCUUUCAGUUGCAGUUUCUCAGUUUUCUCUCUUGAAGCAAUGGUAUCGUCUCGCCUCUAUGCAUCUGCUGACCUACCGUGGGCCUCCUCUGUGAUAACAAAUUUUUUCUUUAGUACCCAAUUGCUUUGUACGGCCUAGAGAAGCUCAGAAAGCUGCAGAUGAAGCUAAAGCUCGGUUUGGCCACAUAGACGGGGAUCAUCUCACACUCUUGAAUGUGUACCAUGCUUACAAACAAAACAGUGACGACCAGUCAUGGUGUUACGAGAAUUUUGUCAACCACAGGGCACUCAAGUCUGCAGAUAAUGUGAGGCAGCAGCUAGCUCGCAUCAUGGCUAGGUUUAAUUUAAAACUCUGCAGCACUGACUUCAACAGCCGGGACUACUACAUCAACAUUAGAAAGGCCAUGUUAUCGGGAUAUUUCAUGCAGGUGGCUCACUUGGAACGUACUGGACACUAUUUAACUGUCAAAGAUAACCAGGUGGUUCAUCUACACCCAUCAAAUUGCCUGGAUCACAAACCAGAGUGGGUAAUUUAUAACGAGUAUGUCUUGACAACCAGGAAUUUUAUCCGCACAGUAACAGAUGUUCGUGGUGAAUGGUUGAUUGAUAUUGCACCACACUACUUUGAUCUUGCAAACUUUCCUCAAUGUGAAGCAAGGCGUGUUCUUGAAAAGUUGUACAAAAAGAGGGAGCGAGAGGCAGAUGCGAAAACCAAAAAGUAGAAACUAUCAUUGGCCUCAACUUUGUUAGAGCUGUUUGUUGGCUUUUAUUGGCUGCGUCGGUAAAAUGGUUACUAUUUUUCUGGAGCACUGGUUUUUUUCAGGACUAUGGGACCAACCAAUCAGCUCACUACAGCCCCUUAACUCCCUACAAAAAUGUGGUGAACAUGCAGACGUUGAGAUAUUCUAUUUAAGUUUAUUGUUGACAGUUACCAGCACUACAUGUAUUCUAUUUGUUUCGACAGCUCCUUUGGUAUCUAUUAUUAUCAGUGUUUCAUUUUCUUAAAUUCA
Molecule: RNA transcript, 2749 nt
Organism: Daucus carota subsp. sativus
Lineage: Eukaryota; Viridiplantae; Streptophyta; Magnoliopsida; Apiales; Apiaceae
Gene name: probable pre-mRNA-splicing factor ATP-dependent RNA helicase DEAH2
Exons: 7
Source: RefSeq, a predicted model, not a curated record